RNAcentral lists this small RNA (78 nucleotides) under Kaistella antarctica. RNAcentral describes it as "Chryseobacterium antarcticum Flavo-1 RNA". It matches the Rfam family "Flavo-1 RNA". Lineage: Bacteria; Pseudomonadati; Bacteroidota; Flavobacteriia; Flavobacteriales; Weeksellaceae. The record is from RNAcentral.
CCCUAGCCCCGAUAGAAGCGAUAUCCUUUUUGUUUUUUGAAGAAAAGCAAAAAGAUAAAGCGGAUAGCGGGAAAUAGC